This 530-nucleotide ribosomal RNA is filed under the name Trametes polyzona. RNAcentral's name for it is "partial 18S ribosomal RNA". The stretch from base 230 to 383 matches the Rfam family "5.8S ribosomal RNA". The record is from RNAcentral. Lineage: Eukaryota; Fungi; Basidiomycota; Agaricomycetes; Polyporales; Polyporaceae.
ACAAGGUUUCCGUAGGUGAACUUGCGGAAGGAUCAUUAACGAGUUUUGAUAUCGGGUUGUAGUUGGCCUUCCGAGGCAUGUGCACACCCUGCUCAUCCACUCUACACCUGUGCACUUACUGUAGGUUGGCGUGGGCUUCGGACCUCCGGGUUCGAGGCAUUCUGCCGGCCUAUGUACACUACAAACUCGGAAGUAACAGAAUGUAAACGCGUCUAACGCAUCUUAAUACAACUUUCAGCAACGGAUCUCUUGGCUCUCGCAUCGAUGAAGAACGCAGCGAAAUGCGAUAAGUAAUGUGAAUUGCAGAAUUCAGUGAAUCAUCGAAUCUUUGAACGCACCUUGCGCUCCUUGGUAUUCCGAGGAGCAUGCCUGUUUGAGUGUCAUGGAAUUCUCAACCCAUAGAUCCUUGUGGUUUACGGGCUUGGAUUUGGAGGCUCCCCGGCCCUUACACGGGGUCGGCUCCUCUUGAAUGCAUUAGCUUGAUUCCGUGCGAAUCGGCUCUCAGUGUGAUAAUUGUCUACGCUGUGGCC